GAUAGCAGGGUCAAAAGCUCCAAAAGCCGUUCGUGCUUGCACGAUUAGGUUUUUGAGCUUGGACCCCGCAAAAACAUGAGGAUGCAGCGAUUUUCAAGGAAAAUCAGCGAAUCCGAAUGUUUUUAGAAUUGCGAAAGUUGCAGGGGGGCGGAGCAAUUCGUGGGUAUC
This 168-nucleotide small RNA is filed under the name human gut metagenome. RNAcentral describes it as "Clostridiales-1 RNA". It matches the Rfam family "Clostridiales-1 RNA". The record is from RNAcentral.